This 654-nucleotide long non-coding RNA is filed under the name Nicotiana tabacum (common tobacco). RNAcentral describes it as "long non-coding RNA (NTAB_LNC001668)". The record is from RNAcentral. Lineage: Eukaryota; Viridiplantae; Streptophyta; Magnoliopsida; Solanales; Solanaceae.
AAUUGGACAACAUUCAUUAACGGCGGGAUCACCAAUUCCAAUAUGAACUAGCCCACCAAGAAGAUCUACACAAGCUCCAAGUUUUAGUGUGUCAAUUGGGCAUGUUGCCUUUGUUGUUGUUGGUGGAGGGCAUGGUUUUCCUUUUGGGGAUGGUGUAACUGGAGGAACAGUAAUUGGUGGAACUGUCACUGGCGGAAUUCCUAUAGGUGGCAAGUUGAUAGGAGGUUUUACAAUAGGUGGUAUACCAAUUGGUGGCUUAACAACUGGUGGAACUGUCACCGGUGGAAUUCCGAUAGGUGGCUUAAUAACUGGUGGAAUAAUGGGUGGCAAGUUGAUAGGAGGUUUAAUAACCGGUGGAACUGUCACUGGUGGAAUUCCGAUAGGUGGCUUAAUAACUGGUGGAACAACAGGUGGCAAAUUGAUGGGUGGUUUUACAACUGGUGGAACUGUCACUGGUGGAAUUCCGAUAGGCGGCUUAAUAACUGGUGGAACAACGGGUGGCAAGUUGAUGGGUGGUUUUACAAUCGGUGGAACUGUCACUGGUGGAAUUCCAAUGGGUGGCAAAUUGAUAGGGGGUUUAAUACUUGGAGAGGGAGUUUUGGGCUUUUUGGGUUUGUGAGAGGGUUUUCCACAAUAUCCACAACCAAGAAUGGG